GCGCCCCUUUUCGUGGCGGCGGUGCUCCUUUUGGUACAGAUGUCCCAUUUGGACCACCAGGUCCUGACAUGCUCCCGACAUUUGUCAAUUGGAGUACCUAUGGAGCUGUGACACCAAUACAAGAUCAGGGAGACUGUGGUUCGGGCUGGGCAUUUGGUGUCACCGGUCUCAUAGAGGCAGCUCACUUCAUACGAAACAAGGAGUUAAUAAAACUUUCUGAGCAACACCUGAUAGAUGGAAACAACCUCAGGAACUUUGGAUGCAAACAUGGAUCAUGCUCCGAGGCCCUAGACUACAUUAUGAGAAACGGUGGAAUUAUCAAUGCAGAAAGUUACCCAUACAAGGAAGCCCA
RNAcentral lists this unclassified non-coding RNA (352 nucleotides) under Zea mays. Its description in RNAcentral is "misc RNA Zm00001eb239120". Lineage: Eukaryota; Viridiplantae; Streptophyta; Magnoliopsida; Poales; Poaceae. The record is from RNAcentral.